UACGAAGGGUGCAAGCGUUACUCGGAAUUACUGGGCGUAAAGCGUGCGUAGGUGGUUCGUUAAGUCUGUCGUGAAAGCCCCGGGCUCAACCUGGGAAUGGCGAUGGAUACUGGCGGGCUAGAGUGCGGUAGAGGAGAGUGGAAUUCUUGGUGUAGAGGUGAAAUUCGUAGAGAUCAGGAAGAACACCAGUGGCGAAAGCGGCGACCUGGCCCGACAUUGACGCUCAUGCACGAGAGCGUGGGGAGCAAACAGG
This 253-nucleotide ribosomal RNA is filed under the name uncultured bacterium. Its description in RNAcentral is "partial 16S ribosomal RNA". It matches the Rfam family "Bacterial small subunit ribosomal RNA", at positions 524 to 776 of the family's 1533-position model. The record is from RNAcentral.